CCUACGGGUGGCAGCAGUGGGGAAUAUUGCACAAUGGGGGAAACCCUGAUGCAGCGACGCCGCGUGAGUGAAGAAGUAUUUCGGUAUGUAAAGCUCUAUCAGCAGGGAAGAAAAUGACGGUACAUGAAUAAGAAGCCACGGCGAACUACGGGCCAGCAGCCGCGGGAAUACGUAGGGGGCAAGCGUUCUCCGGAUUUACUGGGUGUACCGGGAGCGUAGACGGCAGCACAAGUCUGGAGUGAAAUGCCGGGGCUUACCCCCGGAACUGCUUUGGAAACUGUGCAGCUAGAGUGCAGGAGAGGUCAGUGGCAUUCCUCGUGUAGCGGUGACUUGCGU
Molecule: ribosomal RNA, 336 nt
Filed under: uncultured bacterium
Lineage: Bacteria
Description: partial 16S ribosomal RNA
Rfam family: Bacterial small subunit ribosomal RNA
Source: RNAcentral